RNAcentral lists this ribosomal RNA (497 nucleotides) under uncultured bacterium. RNAcentral's name for it is "partial 16S ribosomal RNA". It matches the Rfam family "Bacterial small subunit ribosomal RNA", at positions 28 to 507 of the family's 1533-position model. The record is from RNAcentral.
GAUGAACGCUGGCGGCGUGCCUAAUACAUGCAAGUCGAGCGAACGGACGAGAAGCUUGCUUCUCUGAUGUUAGCGGCGGACGGGUGAGUAACACGUGGAUAACCUACCUAUAAGACUGGGAUAACUUCGGGAAACCGGAGCUAAUACCGGAUAAUAUUUUGAACCGCAUGGUUCAAAAGUGAAAGACGGUCUUGCUGUCACUUAUAGAUGGAUCCGCGCUGCAUUAGCUAGUUGGUAAGGUAACGGCUUACCAAGGCAACGAUGCGUAGCCGACCUGAGAGGGUGAUCGGCCACACUGGAACUGAGACACGGUCCAGACUCCUACGGGAGGCAGCAGUAGGGAAUCUUCCGCAAUGGGCGAAAGCCUGACGGAGCAACGCCGCGUGAGUGAUGAAGGUCUUCGGAUCGUAAAACUCUGUUAUUAGGGAAGAACAGAUGUGUAAGUAACUGUGCACAUCUUGACGGUACCUAAUCAGAAAGCCACGGCUAACUACGUG